UGACCUCCUUAAGCCUAUGUCUUCAUCUGAAACAUAGGGAGACAGCCAGGCAUGGUGGCUCAUGCCUGUAAUGCCAUUGUCCCUGAAGUCAAGGAGAGCACACAGGAUUAGAAAGCCCAUCAGACAAACACAGCUGCGCAAACUGCACAGGGAAGAGAAUUCGGACUGCUCCAUCUUCAGGCUGCGAACCCUGUGUGAACCAUUUGCCUCAGAAAUCAAAAGGACUGAGAAGGCAAUGAAGACUCCAGUGCUUAGUAAACUGCAAGCUGCUGACCAGCUGCCAGGGGUUAUUCAUUCUCAGUGGCCUAAGGCCUCCUAAAAUGAAGGCUGUACCUCUGAGAGCUUCAGCUUCCUCUAAGAUUCAAGAGAACGUUCUUCUUACCAGAGCUGGGUGGUGUCUUUGGAGCGGGCGGGGUUUUUGCUGGAAUCCUGGUG
This 435-nucleotide long non-coding RNA is filed under the name Homo sapiens (human). RNAcentral describes it as "non-protein coding lnc-KANSL1-4:4". The record is from RNAcentral. Lineage: Eukaryota; Metazoa; Chordata; Mammalia; Primates; Hominidae.